Molecule: ribosomal RNA, 506 nt
Filed under: uncultured bacterium
Lineage: Bacteria
Description: partial 16S ribosomal RNA
Rfam family: Bacterial small subunit ribosomal RNA
Source: RNAcentral
AUUGAACGCUGGCGGCAGGCCUAACACAUGCAAGUCGGACGGUAGCACAGAGGAGCUUGCUCCUCGGGUGACGAGUGGCGGACGGGUGAGUAAUGUCUGGGGAUCUGCCCGAUAGCGGGGGAUAACCACUGGAAACGGUGGCUAAUACCGCAUAACGUCGCACGACCACAGUGGGGGACCGUCGGGCCCCUCACCAGCGGAUGAACCGAGAAGGGAUUAGCAAGUCGGCGGGGUAACGGCCCACCUAGGCGACGAUCCCUAGCUGGUCUGAGGGGAUGACCAGCCACACUGGAACUGAGACACGGUCCAGACUCCUACGGGAGGCAGCAGUGGGGAAUAUUGCACAAUGGGCGCAAGCCUGAUGCAGCCAUGCCGCGUGUAUGAAGAAGGCCUUCGGGUUGUAAAGUACUUUCAGCGGGGAGGAAGGCGAUGUGGUUAAUAACCGCGUCGAUUGACGUUACCCGCAGAAGAAGCACCGGCUAACUCCGUGCCAGCCGCCGCGGUAA